Molecule: ribosomal RNA, 693 nt
Filed under: Triticum aestivum (bread wheat)
Lineage: Eukaryota; Viridiplantae; Streptophyta; Magnoliopsida; Poales; Poaceae
Description: partial small subunit ribosomal RNA
Source: RNAcentral
AUGCCUGUGGGUCUUUUCGUUGGAGUGAACAAUCACUACCAAUCUGCACUGUUUGGGUGUGUUAUUCUCAGAGAAGAAACAGAAGACUCAUUCAAGUGGCCAUUUUCUACCUUUGUUGAAGCCAACGGCGGGAAGACGCCACAGACGAUACUCACAGAUCAAUGCCGGCAGAUGGAAGUUGCUAUCGCUCAUACAAUGCCCUCUACAGUCCACCGUUUGUGCAAAUGGCACGUUAUGAAAAGUAUAAAGGAGAAUCUUCGGGCAUUAUAUAAGAAAGGGACCCCAUUCCGAAUUGACUUUAAUCGUCUCACGAAUGAGAUGAUGACUGGCGAUGAGUUCGACCGUGGAUGGGCUUAUCUAAUGGACACCUAUGGACUUGCUGGCAACAGGUACAUGGCACAUAUAUAUGAUUGCCGUGACAAAUGGGCCAAACCCUACCUCAGCUCGAACUUCUGCACCAAGAUGUGUAGCACGCAAUGUAAUGAGUGCAUGAAUAAUGUGCUGAAAAGCUAUGUUUCGCUUUCAGCACCUCUCAACCGUUUUGUGCUGCAGUAUAACAAGCUCAUAGCACAGCGGUGCGAGGAUGAAGACUUUGAGAUGGCACACACAAAGAAGGAUGGUAAGGUCCUCCAUACAAACUUUCCUAUCGAGCGUCACGCAUCCAAGGUUUACACGCGCUCCUUGUUCAAGUUG